AGCUAUAAUUUACUUGAUCUUGACACAAUCCUACUUGGAUAACUGUGGUAAUUCUAGAGCUAAUACAUGCAUUAAAGCUCUGACCUCACGGGAAGAGUGCAUUUAUUAGAACAAAACCAAGCGGCUUCGGCUGUUUCUGGUUGACUCAUAGUAACUGAGCUGAUCGCAUGGUCUUGCACCGGCGACGUGUCUUUCAAGUAUCUGCCGUAUCAACUUUCGAUGGUAGUGUAUCUGACUACCAUGGUGAUCACGCGUAACGGAGAAUAAGGGUUCGGCUCCGGAGAGUUCGCCUGAGAAAUCGCGAACACAUCUAAGGAAGGCAGCAGGCGCGAAAAUUACCCACUCUCAGCACGAGGAGGUAGUGACGAAAAAUAACGAGACCGUUCUCUUAUGAGGCCGGUCAUCGGAAUGGGUACAAUUUAAACCCUUUAACGAGUAUCUAUGAGAGGGCAAGUCUGGUGCCAGCAGCCGCGGUAAUUCCAGCUCUCAAAGUGCAUAGAAUUAUUGCUGCGGUUAAAAAGCUCGUAGUUGGAUCUGUGCCAUAGGACGUGGUCCACCUUCGGGUGCGUACUACGCUCCUAGGCUUUUUGCUGGUUUUCCCGUCGUAGCCUUCACUGGUUGCGGCGGGUGGCUGGCGAGUUUACUUUGAGAAAAUCAGAGUGCUCAAUACAGGCGUAUCGCUUGAAUGAUUGUGCAUGGAAUAAUAGAAAAGGAUUUCGGUCCUCUUUUAUUGGUUUUGUGGACUGAGAUAAUGGUUAACAGGGACAAACGGGGGCAUUCGUAUCUCUGCGUGAGAGGUGAAAUUCUUGGACCGUAGAGAGA
This 822-nucleotide ribosomal RNA is filed under the name Acrobeloides sp. HWO. RNAcentral describes it as "SSU rRNA". It matches the Rfam family "Eukaryotic small subunit ribosomal RNA", at positions 108 to 935 of the family's 1831-position model. The record is from RNAcentral. Lineage: Eukaryota; Metazoa; Nematoda; Chromadorea; Rhabditida; Cephalobidae.